This 924-nucleotide ribosomal RNA is filed under the name uncultured Bacteroidota bacterium. Its description in RNAcentral is "bacterial SSU rRNA". It matches the Rfam family "Bacterial small subunit ribosomal RNA", at positions 1 to 917 of the family's 1533-position model. The record is from RNAcentral. Lineage: Bacteria; Pseudomonadati; Bacteroidota.
UGGAUCCAGACUUUGAUCAUGGCUCAGGAUGAACGCUAGCUACAGGCUUAACACAUGCAAGUCGAGGGGCAGCAUGGUCUUAGCUUGCUAAGGCCGAUGGCGACCGGCGCACGGGUGAGUAACACGUAUCCAACCUGCCGUCUACUCUUGGACAGCCUUCUGAAAGGAAGAUUAAUACAAGAUGGCAUCAUGAGUCCGCAUGUUCACAUGAUUAAAGGUAUUCCGGUAGACGAUGGGGAUGCGUUCCAUUAGAUAGUAGGCGGGGUAACGGCCCACCUAGUCUUCGAUGGAUAGGGGUUCUGAGAGGAAGGUCCCCCACAUUGGAACUGAGACACGGUCCAAACUCCUACGGGAGGCAGCAGUGAGGAAUAUUGGUCAAUGGGCGAGAGCCUGAACCAGCCAAGUAGCGUGAAGGAUGACUGCCCUAUGGGUUGUAAACUUCUUUUAUAAAGGAAUAAAGUCGGGUAUGCAUACCCGUUUGCAUGUACUUUAUGAAUAAGGAUCGGCUAACUCCGUGCCAGCAGCCGCGGUAAUACGGAGGAUCCGAGCGUUAUCCGGAUUUAUUGGGUUUAAAGGGAGCGUAGAUGGAUGUUUAAGUCAGUUGUGAAAGUUUGCGGCUCAACCGUAAAAUUGCAGUUGAUACUGGAUAUCUUGAGUGCAGUUGAGGCAGGCGGAAUUCGUGGUGUAGCGGUGAAAUGCUUAGAUAUCACGAAGAGCUCCGAUUGCGAAGGCAGCCUGCUAAGCUGCAACUGACAUUGAGGCUCGAAAGUGUGGGUAUCAAACAGGAUUAGAUACCCUGGUAGUCCACACGGUAAACGAUGAAUACUCGCUGUUUGCGAUAUACGGCAAGCGGCCAAGCGAAAGCGUUAAGUAUUCCACCUGGGGAGUACGCCGGCAACGGUGCAACUCAAAUGAAUUGACGGA